CACUUUUGUACUUGCUGGAUAGACUGCUGCCACACCGGCUGGCUAGAUUGCUCUAGCCACGUUAACAAGGGCCAGUGGAAAGCUCAGUGGGUGAAAAAAACCUUGCUAUACAAGACUUGGUCGCAUUCCUAGAAUCCACAUUGAAGGAGAGAACCAACUUCCUACUGCUAUCUUAUAGUCUCCAUGCGUAAGUAUAGCACAUGUGCAAUUGUAUGCAGACUCUCUGUGUGUGUGUGUGUGUGUGUGUGUGUGUGUGUGUGUGUGUGUGUGUGUGUGUGUGUGUGUCUGUCUGUCUGUCUGUCUGUCUGUCUGUCUGUCUGUUUGUCCCCUGUAUCUCUUUGUCUGUCUCUGUCUCUCUUUAAAUUAAGUUAAAAGUCAGGAACAUAAUCUAGGCUUUGGAAUUAGGAAUGAUCAUCACUACUGAUGCAGGGUCUCACAUUUGAAAGGGAAUAGGCAUUUCCUUCUGAAAUUGUGGGAACUUCCUUAAUAUUUAACAUUCUAAGUUCACCCAAAUUUUUCCCUGAAUUUUGCCUGGGAGAUGAGUAGUAUUUUAUUUCAGUGUAUGCAGCAAAUUUUCAUUAUGCAUUCAUCUGCUGGUGGACAAUGAAGUUAAUUCCAAUCCUUAAUUACAGCAUACAAAGCAGAAGCAAGAAUAGGGGUAAACAAAUAUCUCUGUGGCAGAACAUGGGAUGCUAUAGAUUUUACAUAUACCUAGGAGGGAAAUGGGUCAUAUGGAUGAUAGGUUUUUUAAAAACUGUUUGAGAAACAUCCAAAUGGAUUUAUUUCUGCAAUGUCUGUAUGAAUUUGCACCCCACCAACAAUGGAUGAUGUUCCCUUCUCUUCAGAUCCUGUCUAAUAUUUAUGGUCAGGUUGUUUGAUGAUAGCCUUUCUAACUGUGAUGACAUGAAAUCUCAAAGCAGGUUUAAUUUAAUGAAUCCCAAAAGACUAUGGCAACUUUCCUUUAAAUUUUACAUAUUUAAAUCAAAACUUAAAUCCUUAAAAGUUAAAAUAUAUUUUACGCAUUUGUAUGGUUUUUUUUAAGAAAAUAUCUCUAUUCAGUCCACUUGCCCAUUUAUUGGUUCACAGUUAUUUCCUUGGUAUUUAAUUUCUGCAAUGCUUUGUGUAUUAGCCCUUUGUCUGUACUGUAGCUGGUAUAGAUUUUGUCCCAUUCUCUGCGUUAUCUAUUAACUCUGUUGAUUUUCUUUUCUUUACAAAACAUUUGUUUUCAUUUAUUUAGCUUUUCUUUAAAAAGUUCUUGCCUGCCCCCAAAUCUUUGAGGGUAUCCUGUAUGUUCCUUGAAAGGUUUCCAAGUUUCAGGUUUUAAAUUAAGGCCUUUGGUGAAUUUUAAUUGAUUUUUGUACAAGGUGAAAGAUACAAAUCUAAUUUCAUUCUUCUGCAGAUAGAAAUCCAGUUUUUCCACCAUCAUUUAUUGAAUAGGCCAUCUCUUUUUUAAAGCAUAUUUCCUCCUCUGUUGUCAAAAUUAAGUGGUUAUAUCUAUGGUCUUUUGUUUCCAGGUCUUCUAUUCUAUCCCAACUGAUCUAUUUUUUAUGCAAAUAGAAGACUGCAUUUAUAAGUAAUCCUGUGUACUCAUCAUUGUACCUCUUAAGUUUAUAACUUCCUUACAAAUAUAGGAUAUAUUUCAUACUUAAUCCCACCUAUUCCCACCAGUACUCUUCUUUUCUCAGAGUCCCACUCAUACAAACAGGAUAAAUAGAAUUGUUCUGGUAUAUAUUCCAUUUAAGUAGUUAAAGGUUUUUAAUUGAGGAAAAAGAAUCUAGCAUUGAAGUUUACAAAGGACCAAAGGCCCAUGGCAAUGCCUAAACUAGACAUAAUUGCUCUUUUUAUUUUCCUCUAUAUAAGUAUUUACAAUUUUUCAGAAUUUUACAUUUUCAAAUAUGAAGGUUAUCAUAAACAUUGGUAUAUGUUUUCUGACAAGAGAGAUUAAAGAGAUGCUCUCUAUAUAAUUUCAAAGAAAUAAUCAAUAUAUAAAACAGCCAUUUCUUUUAUUUUUUAUUUUUUUAAUUUUUAUUUGAAUUAGAAACAAGAUUGUUUUACAUGUCAAUCCCUGUUGCCUCUUCCUCACCUUCUCCACUACAAACCCCCAACCCACAACUAAAACCCUACCUAGCAUAAACCCCAUUCUGCUCCACAGGGAGGGUAAGGCCUUCCAUCAGAGUCUGUCAUAUUCUUUAGGAUAAGGCCUAGGCCCACCCCUGUGCGUCUUGGCUCAAGGGAGUAUCUCUCUCUGUGGAAUGGGCUCCCAAAGUCCACACCUAUGCUAGGGAUAAGUACUGAUCUACUACAGCUGGUUUUGCAGCUCUUGGUCCCCUAUAUAAAGGGCAUUUAAUGUAGCCUCUCCUCUGUUGUUUAGAUUGUUAGCUGGUGUCAUCUUUGUAGAUCUCCAGACAUUUCCCUAGUGCCUGAUUUCUCUGUAAACCUAAAAUGUCUCCCUGUAUUAUGGUAUCUUCUUUCUUAUUUUCUUCUGUUCUUCCCCCGACUCAACCUUUCUGCUCCCUCAUGUCCUCUCCACCCCUCCACUUCUCCCCUUCUCAUUCCCCUAGCUCCUGCUCCCUUCCCCCCAUGCUCCCAAAUUGCUCAGGAGAUCUUGUCCUUUCCCCUUCCCCAGGGGACCAUGUAUGUCUCUCUUAGGGUCCUCCUUGUUUACUAGCUUCUCUGGCAGUGUGGAUUGUAGGCUGCUAAUCCUUUAUUCUAUGUCUAAAAUCCACAUGUGAGUGAGUGCAUACCAUGUUUGUCUUUUUGUGAGUGGGUUACCUUGCUCAGAAUAGUUUCUUCUAGUUCCAUCCAUUUGCCUGUGAAUUUCAAGAUUCCCUUUUUUUCCUGCUGAGUAGAACUCCAUUGUGUAAAUGUACCAUAUUUUCUCUAUCCAUUCUUCAGUUGAGAGACAUCUAUGAUGCUUCCAGAUUCUGGCUAUUACAAAUAGUGCUGCUUUGAAAAUCAUUGAACAGAUGUCCUUGUUGUAUGAAUGUGUAUAUUUUGGGUAUAUGCGUAAGAGUGGAAUUGCUGGAUCUUGUGGUAGACUGAUCCCCAUUUCCUGAGGAGUAGCCAUAUUGAUUUCCAAAAUGGCUGUACAAAUUGGCACUCCUACUGGCAAUGGAGGAGUGUUCCCCAUUCUCCACAUCCUCUCCAACAUAAACUCUCAUUGGUGUUUUUUAUUUUGGCCAUUCUGACAGGAGUAAUAUGGUAUUGAUCAUCUCACUAGAUGUUGAAAACACCUUUGAAAGCCAUUUCUUUUAACUUGUUCCACAGAACCAUGUAAGUCCUCACACAUUUGCCAAGAAGUGCUCCUAUUAAACCAACACACAAAUAUUGCCUGACACUGUUUUUAAAAUGUUCACCCUUUCCAUCGUAACUUGUGCUUUAGAUUCCCUCAUGACCAAAACUAUCAUUUAAACAUCCCUCUCUAUCUCUGUUAGGAUACACAGGCACAGGGCAUCAUUCCAUACAGCAGAUGUUUUGAAUGUAGUCAGACUUUUUCUUUAGUUUUUAACAAUGACAGUGUGCAAGCAUGCACACAAAAGUAAAUUCAUGGACUCAAAAAGAACAGCAAGGGGGGAAGUGGCUUAGGAGAAGAACUACUGCAAACCAAGUGGAUCACCAUGGUAACUCUGGACUCAAUUGUCAUUCUUAGUUUUUCAUACACUUCAUAUCUUCAGGAGUGGGGCUGCCUAUAUCCCCUGCACUCACACCUCUGACAUUUCACGCCUUUUCAAGAGCAAGUUCUGAAAUAAAUAAAUAACAAAAGAAAAACAGUCUUAAUUUUAAUACGUUACCCUUAAAUUAUUUUAUAGAAUCAGAUUGGGUAUCUGAAUGUCAAAUUUGAAGGUGUUUAUUGUAGGGAGACACUGUAACCAUGCUUCCUAAGAGCUGGCUACAGGUGGGCUUAACCACGCUUGUCAGGGCGUGGUGAGGGGAGGUUCAGGAUGAUGCAUGGGGAGUUCUUAAGAUGCAGCAGAGACGUGGGAGCUCUGUCUCUGGCCUCCCUAUCUUGUUGCCUGUGGGCAAACUCUGGUUUGUGCUUGGCCAGUAUUAUUUGAAUAAAGAUAUCUUAACAUGCAGCCUCUGGGUACACCUGGUGCCCAAUGUGGGGAUCGAACCCACAACCCUGAGAUUAAGAGUCUCAUGCUCUACAGACUGAGCUAGCUGGGCCUGAUAAUACUGAAUUAACCUUGUUGUUCUUACAACGAGGAAACAAUCAGAAACAGAAGUAAUCCUCUAUACAUUACGCAUAUCAGAUCCCAUACGGGUCUGCCAGGCCCACUAGCACAAGGCAAUGACUAAUUGUUUAUUAAUUGGCACUGUGCUAGAAGCCUCAGAAUUUCAUAAAAACAUCAUGUAAAUAGCAAAGGUUUAAAAAAGGAUUUCUCCAUCACUUGGCAACAAGCCAAGGAGAUAUUGAGAAACUGUCCUACUUGUUCCUUUCAUAACCAAUCUCCACUGCCAGCAGGCUGUAAUUCUAAAGGCAUUUGGAGGAAUGAGAUCUGGCAGACGGAUAUAUUUCACUUUACAGAAUUUGGAAAUUUGAAAUAUGUGUUUCAUACUAUUGACACAUUCUCAGGUUUCCAAUGGGCUACUGCUCUCAACUCUGAAAAAGCUGAUUCUGUUAUUACACACCUGCUAGAGGUGAUGGCGGUUAUGGGCAUACCUGCACAGAUAAAAACUGACAAUGCUUCAGCAUAUGUCUCCACAAAAAAGGAACAGUUCUUCAAAUAUUAUAACAUAAAGCAUGUCACAGGUAUACCACACUGUUACGAUAAAUCUUUCCGCCAAAAGCCACCUGAACCCCACCACCACGUGUGAGCUUUAUGCCAGCUGCCCUACUGAGUUUGGUCCCAAAUAAAUACACAGAAACUUGUAUUAGGUUCAAUCCUGCUUGGCCAAUGACUAGGAUUCUCAUCUGUUAGCUCAGUCUUAACUAUCAUAAACCUAUAUAUUUUAUAAGACUUAUCUUAUCGGACACCUUUUUGGCAUCCCUACUUGCCAGUGGCUGACAUCCUGCCACUGGAGCAGGAGUGGAAGGGAAAAGAGGGCCCUUCCUGUUUCUCCUUUGCUUAAAUAUGAGUCUCCUUGCUAUGCCACUUCCUGCCUGGAUCAGCACUCCUCUAUUACAUUUCCCAGAAUCCUCUUUGACUCCUAGUCCAGUCUAACUUGCUAUCUCAUUGGCCAAACAGUAUUUUAUUUAACAAUCAAUAAGAUAAACAUACACAGUACAUUCCCCAUCACCACACAAUCCUACAGGACAAGCAGUUGUUGAGAGAUCUAAUAGGAUGCUUAAGGAGAUGCUCCAUAGGCAAGCUGUUAAGUCAAAACCCCUCAAACAUAGGUUGCAUAAUGCUCUAUUGACACUAAACUUUCUUAAUACCAAUGACAAAGGACAAACACCUUUGGAAAGACACUGAACUACGGGAAAAAAAACUGCUGAACUGAAUCAACCAGUGUACUUCAAAAAUGUACUGACCUCGGUAUGGAAGCCUGGACAUGUGUUACGUUGGGUUUUGCACUUGUUUCCACAGGAGAAGAAAAACUUUGGAUACCAUCAAAAUUGAUCAAGAUUAGAGUUGAAAAAGACAACCCUCUUGACAAGGACAACUGACUGGUAUUUACUGAGUUAUAUCUCAUAAACUAAAUAAAAGCCUCCCAAAGGAAAGGAAAAUGCUUUGUUUUUAUCUUCACAGGAAAACUGAUCUCCAGAAGUCCAAGAAUACUAUAUGAGUAGAUACUUAAGAAAACAAGGUAGCUAUAACCAUCAAACAAAAGGAACAUGCCAUAUGGUAAACUUUACAGCUGUCUCUCAAAUAACUCUGUUUCUCUUCAUUUCCUAGUUCCUAUUCAAGUAAAUAAAUGCUGGAUUUAGAGUUGGAUUUGUCUUUCCUCCCCUAAAAUCUAAACAUGUUGUUUAACUAAACUUUUCAGUUUCUGUAUUAUAUCAAGAAGCCAACUGAUGUAAUACAAAAUAAAUUAAGAAUUUGAAGACCAUCUUUUGUCUUUUCUUGGCUCUUUCUUUCAAGGCCUACACCCUCUCAUAAUUGUUGUUUUCCCAUGGUUGCCUUUCCCAGCAUACAUACAUAUGCAAGCAAACAUUUCUCUGCUAACACUUAUGUUUGAGUCCCAUACAGCCAAUGAAGACCCGCCUUACAACAAUCCCUGGACGCUGCGGAAAUGGAAUUGGGCCAUACCUCCUGGACUGCACUGGAUCCAACUUACUCCAUUUCAACUGACACUCCAGCCAGAGCUUCAAGUACUGGCUUCAGUCAAGUUGAGGAUUUCAACCUAGAUCUUCAAUCAAGCAAACCCCAUCUAACAUGGACUGGAGAUAACCCAUUAGAGACUUUCACUAUACUAACAUUUUCUUCCCACAGGACCCCACAAGGCUACCAUCAUUCCAUUUCAGCAGGAAGUAACUUGGAAGAUGCUACACCCCUUUUCCCCAUUAUUGUCUAUUAGGGUGGUGUAAGCCUAGUUAGGAAUAACUUUCCUAUUGUUUAGGGUUGGGAUUGGAAGGAGGUGUUCAGGUUGGACACCCCUUUCAGAUAACUUUAUUGCUUAGCUGGAAUAGACACAGUUAGGAAGUGCAAUAGCAGAUUAUUGUAUCUUCUUGUAUUUCACCUUUAUGAUUAUUAAUUUUGCAUGUUUUCACCAUUAAGUUUUAAUCCUCUUUUAGUCUAAAAGGGGAAUUGUAGGGAGACAACAUAACCACACUUUCUAAGAGCUGGCUACAGGUGUGCUUAACCACUCCUGCCAGGGCUUGGUCUGGAUGAUGCGUGGAGAGUUCUUAAAGUGUGGCAGGGAUGUGGGAGCUAUCUCUCUGGCCUCCCUAGCUUGCUGCCUCUGGGCUCGCUCUGGCUUGUGCUUGGCCAGUAUUAUUUAAAUAAAGAUAUCUUAACCUGCAAUCUCUCAGUACAG
RNAcentral lists this transfer RNA (6921 nucleotides) under Cricetulus griseus (Chinese hamster). RNAcentral's name for it is "lncRNA (ENSCGRG00015039241.1)". Lineage: Eukaryota; Metazoa; Chordata; Mammalia; Rodentia; Cricetidae. The record is from RNAcentral.